This 77-nucleotide transfer RNA is filed under the name Bacteroidota bacterium. RNAcentral describes it as "Bacteroidetes bacterium tRNA-Arg". It matches the Rfam family "tRNA". From Rfam's summary of the family: Transfer RNA (tRNA) molecules are approximately 80 nucleotides in length. Their secondary structure includes four short double-helical elements and three loops (D, anti-codon, and T loops). RNAcentral also lists the same sequence under 1 other name. Lineage: Bacteria; Pseudomonadati; Bacteroidota. The record is from RNAcentral.
GGUCCCGUAGCUCAAUUGGAUAGAGCAACUGCCUUCUAAGCAGUAGGUUAUGAGUUCGAUCCUCGUCGGGAUCACCA